Molecule: ribosomal RNA, 550 nt
Filed under: uncultured bacterium
Lineage: Bacteria
Description: bacterial SSU rRNA
Rfam family: Bacterial small subunit ribosomal RNA
Source: RNAcentral
GAGGAAGGUCCCCCACACUGGUACUGAGACACGGACCAGACUCCUACGGGAGGCAGCAGUGAGGAAUAUUGGUCAAUGGGCUUACGCCUGAACCAGCCAAGUCGCGUGAGGGAAGACUGCCCUAUGGGUUGUAAACCUCUUUUGUCAGGGAGCAACGCCGGCUACGUGUAGCCGGACUGAGAGUACCUGAAGAAAAAGCAUCGGCUAACUCCGUGCCAGCAGCCGCGGUAAUACGGAGGAUGCGAGCGUUAUCCGGAUUUAUUGGGUUUAAAGGGUGCGUAGGCGGAAUGCCAAGUCAGCGGUAAAAUCGCGGGGCUCAACCUCGCUCCGCCGUUGAAACUGGCGUUCUUGAGUGGGCGAGAAGUAUGCGGAAUGCGUGGUGUAGCGGUGAAAUGCAUAGAUAUCACGCAGAACUCCGAUUGCGAAGGCAGCAUACCGGCGCCCAACUGACGCUGAAGCACGAAAGCGUGGGUAUCGAACAGGAUUAGAUACCCUGGUAGUCCACGCAGUAAACGAUGAAUACUAGCUGUUCGGGGCAAUUGGGCCUUGA